UACACUCCUACGGGAGGCAGCAGUGGGGAAUUUUGGACAAUGGGCGAAAGCCUGAUCCAGCAAUGCCGCGUGAGUGAAGAAGGCCUUCGGGUUGUAAAGCUCUUUUGUCAGGGAAGAAACGGUGAGAGCUAAUAUCUUUUGCUAAUGACGGUACCUGAAGAAUAAGCACCGGCUAACUACGUGCCAGCAGCCGCGGUAAUACGUAGGGUGCAAGCGUUAAUCGGAAUUACUGGGCGUAAAGCGUGCGCAGGCGGUUUUGUAAGUCUGAUGUGAAAUCCCCGGGCUCAACCUGGGAAUUGCAUUGGGGACUGCAAGGCUAGAAUCUGGCAGAGGGGGGUAGAAUUCCACGUGUAGCAGUGAAAUGCGUAGAUAUGUGGAGGAACACCGAUGGCGAAGGCAGCCCCCUGGGUCAAGAUUGACGCUCAUGCACGAAAGCGUGGGGAGCAAACAGGAUUAGAAACCCUAGUAGUCCCAUGAU
This 478-nucleotide ribosomal RNA is filed under the name uncultured organism. RNAcentral's name for it is "partial 16S ribosomal RNA". It matches the Rfam family "Bacterial small subunit ribosomal RNA", at positions 332 to 801 of the family's 1533-position model. The record is from RNAcentral.